This 385-nucleotide long non-coding RNA is filed under the name Heterocephalus glaber (naked mole-rat). RNAcentral describes it as "lncRNA (ENSHGLG00100049397.1)". The record is from RNAcentral. Lineage: Eukaryota; Metazoa; Chordata; Mammalia; Rodentia; Bathyergidae.
GAAUGUGAUAUGGGAGACUUGGCAGAUGACCAGUAGUAUGUCUGAAAGGGGUGGACCCGGUCUGACAGUUGAGCAAGAUAGAGCUGGUACAUGAUCUGCUCAUUGGAAGAAUCAUUUUUUUUGGUAGAUUUUUUUUCGGUACCAGGGAUCAAACUCGGGACUUUGUGCUUGUGAGUCAGGUGCGGUGCCACUGUGCUAAAUCCCUGGCCCAGAAGGAUCAUUUCUGAGUGCCAUCUGAACAAGAAAAUUUCCAUGGAUCUACAUUUUUGCCCAUAUAUGACACAGUCUCUCUGUCACCCGUAUAUGACAUUCAUCUUGUCACAUAUAUGGAAAUUGUGAUUCCAUAUAGGUUAUUAAGAAUGUUAAAGGAAUGGUUGCUUUUGAC